GGGAGUGUAGCUCACUGGUAGAGAACUUGCCUAGUAUAUACGAAUCCCUGGGCUCAAUCCUCAGCACUCCCA
This 72-nucleotide transfer RNA is filed under the name Heterocephalus glaber (naked mole-rat). It matches the Rfam family "tRNA". Rfam says of the family: Transfer RNA (tRNA) molecules are approximately 80 nucleotides in length. The record is from Rfam by way of RNAcentral. Lineage: Eukaryota; Metazoa; Chordata; Mammalia; Rodentia; Bathyergidae.